GUGGGGAAUCUUGCGCAAUGGGCGAAAGCCUGACGCAGCGACGCCGCGUGGGGGAAGAAGGCCUUCGGGUUGUAAACCUCUUUCAGCAGGGACGAAGCCACUCGGGUUAAUAGCCCAGAGGGUGACGGUACCUGCAGAAGAAGCCCCGGCUAACUACGUGCCAGCAGCCGCGGUAAUACGUAGGGGGCAAGCGUUGUCCGGAUUUAUUGGGCGUAAAGAGCGUGUAGGCGGCCAGACAAGUCCGUUGUGAAAACUAGAGGCUUAACCUCUAGACGUCGAUGGAAACUGUUUGGCUAGAGUCCGGAAGAGGAGAAUGGAAUUCCUGGUGUAGCGGUGAAAUGCGCAGAUAUCAGGAAGAACACCCGUGGCUAAGGCGGUUCUCUAGUACGGUACUGACGCUGAGACGCGAAAGCGUGGGGAGCGAACAGGAUUAGAUACCCUAGUAGUCC
This 449-nucleotide ribosomal RNA is filed under the name uncultured bacterium. RNAcentral's name for it is "bacterial SSU rRNA". It matches the Rfam family "Bacterial small subunit ribosomal RNA", at positions 354 to 796 of the family's 1533-position model. The record is from RNAcentral.